This 468-nucleotide ribosomal RNA is filed under the name uncultured bacterium. RNAcentral describes it as "partial 16S ribosomal RNA". It matches the Rfam family "Bacterial small subunit ribosomal RNA", at positions 28 to 507 of the family's 1533-position model. The record is from RNAcentral.
GACGAACGCUGGCGGCGUGCUUAACACAUGCAAGUCGAACGGAAAGGCCCUGCUUUUGUGGGGUGCUCGAUUGGCGAACGGGUGUGUAUCACGUGUGUAACCUGCCCUUGACUUUGGGAUAUCUUCAGGAAACUGCGUCUAAUACCCGAUAGGAUCUCCUGCUGCAUGGUGUUGGUUGGUAAGUUUCGGCGGUUGUGGAUGUACUCGCUGCUUAUCCGCUUGUUUGUGGGGUAGUGGCUUACCAAGGCUUUGACGGGUAGCCGGCCUGGGAGGGUUGCCGGCCACAAUGGGACUGAGAGACGGACCAGACGGCUACGGGAGGCAGCAGGGGGGAAUAUUGCAGAAUGGGCGGAAGCCUGAUGAAGAAACGCCGCGAGCGGGAAGACGGCCUUCGGGUUGAAAACAGAUUUGGAAUGUGACGAAGAGAGAGUGACGGUAAUGGGUAAAGAAGCACCGGCUAACUACGUG